UUUGCUUAAAAAAAGAAUAAGAAAUGAUCGUUAAACUAUGCUAAAGGUUAAACACAAUACAUUAAUCUGUCUUAGAGACAACUAGAAAUUUAUUAAUGGUUUAUUGCGACUCCUAAGUGCUAAAAAUUCUUUAUUUAAGUAGCAAGAAAUUUAUACUGAUAAAUUGCUUAAAGAAUUUUUAAUUUAUUACAAGGAAAGAAGGAUAAAUAUGGCUCAAAUUUUCACUCUAUUAAUUAUUAUUUUGCUAUUUCUUGUGGUAACCAACGGAUGUAAGUAAUUUUAGACAUUGUUUAUUUCUUUAUGUUUUACAAAUUUUCUUUUCUUUUUAUAGGGAUAACAAUUGAUAUACGUAUCUUAUUAUAUAAUAAAAAACUAAAAAUAUAUAUAUAUUAGGUAGGUAUGGAGUUGGGUGGGUACUAAAGUACCCGUACUCGCAUAUAUACGCGCUCAUUUUUGCGGGUUAUUACGCGUACUCGUAUCCUUAUUUAAAAUGUGGGUUUUUGCAUAUAUCAACUGUGUAUUAGUCAAAUUGUCAUCCCUACGAUUUUGAUAAUAUUUGUUUAUUAUUAUUUGACUUCUUCGCAGAUGAAUCGUGCAAUACAGUCCGUGAUUGUCCAAUCGAUAUUUGUCCAUUCACUACGGUUAUGAAGUGUGUUAGGAGUAUUUGUCAAUGCUACUAUGACAGAUUUAAGGUUCCAUAUCCGCCGAUUGUUAACAAAAUACGCAGUUAAGCACAGUAAUUAAUUAUAAUUGUUGAUUUGUGAUCAGAUUGUCUAGGGACUGGAUCUCAUGCAGUCAAAGCAUGCUGCAGUCAUGUAGUCACUACAUUUGAACCCUUAGAAUGAAUAUAGAUCACAUAAAUAAUAUAUUUUAAUAAAUUUGGAACAUUGUUUUAAGAUCUAAAUUGUUAGUUUAAUUCGGAUAGUUGAAAACAAUAACCAUGUCGAUGCAGUUAUCCAUAUGAAAAGUAAUUAUAUAUAACUAUAUUGUACAGUAAGUGUAUAAUUUAUUUGUAUCGUAUAAUUUCUCGCACACUUUGAUUUAUGUUUUUCUUACUUUAAAUUCUUUGACAAGCAUCACAAAUGUAUUUUUUUUUUUAUAAGACAAAUGUAUUAUUACUCCAUAA
RNAcentral lists this long non-coding RNA (1126 nucleotides) under Trifolium pratense (red clover). RNAcentral describes it as "long non-coding RNA (TPRA_LNC013215)". The record is from RNAcentral. Lineage: Eukaryota; Viridiplantae; Streptophyta; Magnoliopsida; Fabales; Fabaceae.